AGAUAUGAUCCAGAGUACCACGGGACACGUGAAACCCAGUGGGAAGCAGGAGGGACCACCCUCCAAGGCUAAAUACUACCUAGUGACCGAUAGCGUAUAGUACCGGGAGGGAAAGGUGAAAAGAACCCCGGGAGGGGAGUGAAAUAGAACCUGAAACCCUGCACUUACAAGCUGUGGAAGCACAUUUCUUGUGUGACCGCGUACUUUUUGUAGAACGGGCCAACGAGUUACGU
Molecule: ribosomal RNA, 233 nt
Filed under: Clostridioides difficile
Lineage: Bacteria; Bacillati; Bacillota; Clostridia; Peptostreptococcales; Peptostreptococcaceae
Description: partial 23S ribosomal RNA
Rfam family: Bacterial large subunit ribosomal RNA
Source: RNAcentral